CCUUCAUUGCUUAGUUGGUGCAUUGAGGCCUAUGUGGUGUUAUAAACUAAUUCAGAUUGUGAAACUAUGAAUGGCUUAUUAAAUUAGUUAUAGCUUAUUUGAUGGUAUCUAUUACUUGGAUAACCAUAGUAAUACUAGAGCUAAUACGUGCAUAAACCUAAACUUCUAAAAGGGAUGCAUUUAUUAGACAAAAGGUCGACGCGAGCUUUGCCCAUUAUUUUGAUGAUUCAUGAUAACUUGAUGGAUUGCAUGGCCGUAGUGUUGUGCUAGCAACACAUCAUUCAAAAUUUUUCCCUAUGAAGUUUCGAUGCUAGGAUAGUGGCCUACUAUGGUGGUGAUGGGUGAUGGAGAGUUAGGGUUUGAUUCUGGAAAGGGAGCUUGAAAAAUAGCUACCAUAUCCAAGGAAGGCAGUAGGAGCAGAAAUUACCUAAUCUUGACACAGGGAGUUAUUGACAAUAAAUAAUAAUAUUAAGCUUUAUGAGUUUAGCAAUUGGAAUGAGUACAAUCUAAAUCCUUUAGCGAUGAUCCAUUAGAGGGCAAGUUUGGUGCCAGUAGCCAUAGUAAUUCUAGCUCCAAUAGCACAAAUUUAAGUUGUUACAGUUAAAAAGCUCAUAGUUAGAGCUAGGGUUAAGUCAUCUAGUCUACCUCACAAUAAGCAUCGAUUUACUUGUCCCUACUACUAGCGAUGUACCCUUGGCCUUAACUGGCUAGGUCAUUCCUCUGACACUGCUACUUUGAAGAAAUUAGAGUGCUUAAAGCAGGCCCUUGCUUGUAUGCAUUAGUAUGGGAUAACAUCAUAGGAUUUUGGUCAUAUUGCAUUGGCCUUCGAUAUCAGAGUAAUGAUUAACAGAGACAAUCAGAGGCAUUUGUAUUUCAUAGUCAAAGGUGAAAUUCUUGGAUUUAUAAUAGACAAACAACUGCAAAAGCAUUUACCAAGGAUAUUUUUAUUAAUCAAGAAUGAAAGUUAGGGGCUAGAACAUGAUCAGAUACCAUCCUAGUCUCUACCAUAAAUGAUGUCGACCAGGGAUCAAUGGCUGUUACUUUUAAGACUCUAUUGGUACCUUAUGUGAAAUCAAAGUUUUUGGGUUUCAAGGGGAAUAUGGUCAGAGGGCUAAAACUUAAAGGAAUUGAUAGAAAGGCACCACCAAGAGUGGAGCCUAUAGCUUAAUUUCACUCAACAUGGGGAAACUUACCCGAUCUACACAUAGUAAGGAUUGACAGAUUGAGAACUUUUUCUUGAUUCUAUGGGUGGUGGUGCAUGGCCAUUCUUAGUUGGUAGAGUGAUUUGUCUAGUUAAUUCUGUUAAUGAACAAGAUCUCAACCUACUAACUAGCUACACGGAUGUGAUUCUUCAUGGCUAGCUUCUUAAAGGGACUAUGGCCAUUUAGGCUAAGGAAGUUUGAGGGAAUACUAGGUCUAUGACACCCAUAGAUGUUCUGGGCUGCUCAUACACUAUACUGAUAUAUUGAACAAGUUUAUAGCCUUGGCUGACAGGCUCGAGUAAUCUUUGAAAUUUCAUCAUGAUGGGGAUAGAUCAUUGCAAUUGUUAGUCUUCAAAGAGGAAUUCCUAGUAAGUGUGAAUUUUUAGCUCAUGUUGACUAUGUUCUUGCUCUUUGUACACACCGCCUAUCACUCUUACUGAUUGAAUGGUCUGGUGAAGUAUUUGGAUCAUGGUGAUAUGGAUGGUUCAUUAUCAAAGAUGUUUAAGAAGUCCAUUGAACCUUAUCAUUUAGAGGAAGGAGUAGUCAUAACAAGGUUUUCAUAAGUGAAACUUUAAAAG
Molecule: ribosomal RNA, 1780 nt
Filed under: Durio zibethinus
Lineage: Eukaryota; Viridiplantae; Streptophyta; Magnoliopsida; Malvales; Malvaceae
Description: SSU rRNA
Rfam family: Eukaryotic small subunit ribosomal RNA
Source: RNAcentral